This 519-nucleotide long non-coding RNA is filed under the name Homo sapiens (human). RNAcentral describes it as "non-protein coding HTT-AS:4". The record is from RNAcentral. Lineage: Eukaryota; Metazoa; Chordata; Mammalia; Primates; Hominidae.
ACACAGCAAGGCCGCUGACAGCGCAGCGCCCCACCCGGGCGAAGGCGCGGGGCUCAACGGAGAGGGGACGGGGCGUGGUGAGACUGUAAUGGGCAAUGAACAUGAACUAUUCAGGGGAAGAUUGUUAAAUGAAAGAAUCUCACUGGGCGGGGAGCUAAGCAUGACACCUGGCCACCUGCCUGUGCCUGUCCUGCCGAGAAGAGAGAAGAGGCCUUGAAAGCAGCCAGAGGGGGUGCACACCAGCCUGGGCAGGGGGCAGUAAGCGGGAGCAGCCCCGACCCGAGACCAGCAGCCCCUCUCUUCACCUCCAAGCCGGAGCGUGGCCUCAUCCCUCCCAGGUGACUCUCUUCCCAGAAAUGGUGCUGUCUCAAGAAGCCCCCUCUCUCCAAGCAUCUGCCAGGCCGUUUGAGCUGCCAGGAGUCUUUGUCCUGCCCCACCAGCUCUGUCUCAUCUAGAUGGGGCCUUCUGUCCAGUGCUACUGAACAGAAUGUUCUGCAUGCCUGGCCAGUGCAGAGACCU